RNAcentral lists this ribosomal RNA (729 nucleotides) under uncultured bacterium. RNAcentral's name for it is "bacterial SSU rRNA". It matches the Rfam family "Bacterial small subunit ribosomal RNA", at positions 771 to 1501 of the family's 1533-position model. The record is from RNAcentral.
AACAGGAUUAGAUACCCUGGUAGUCCACGCCGUAAACGAUGUCGACUUGGAGGUUGUUCCCUUGAGGAGUGGCUUCCGGAGCUAACGCGUUAAGUCGACCGCCUGGGGAGUACGGCCGCAAGGUUAAAACUCAAAUGAAUUGACGGGGGCCCGCACAAGCGGUGGAGCAUGUGGUUUAAUUCGAUGCAACGCGAAGAACCUUACCUACUCUUGACAUCCAGCGAACGGGGCAGAGAUGCCCUGGUGCCUUCGGGAACGCUGAGACAGGUGCUGCAUGGCUGUCGUCAGCUCGUGUUGUGAGAUGUUGGGUUAAGUCCCGCAACGAGCGCAACCCUCGCCCUUAGUUGCCAGCAUUUGGUUGGGCACUCUAAGGGGACUGCCGGUGAUAAGCCGAGAGGAAGGUGGGGAUGACGUCAAGUCCUCAUGGCCCUUACGGGCUGGGCUACACACGUGCUACAAUGGUGGUGACAGUGGGCAGCGAGACAGCGAUGUCGAGCUAAUCUCCAAAAGCCAUCUCAGUUCGGAUUGCACUCUGCAACUCGAGUGCAUGAAGUUGGAAUCGCUAGUAAUCGCAGAUCAGCAUGCUGCGGUGAAUACGUUCCCGGGCCUUGUACACACCGCCCGUCACACCAUGGGAGUUGGUUUUACCCGAAGGCGCUGCGCUAACCGCAAGGGGGCAGGCGACCACGGUAGGGUCAGCGACUGGGGUGAAGUCGUAACAAGGUAACC